Molecule: ribosomal RNA, 1028 nt
Filed under: Rhodococcus sp. (in: high G+C Gram-positive bacteria)
Lineage: Bacteria; Bacillati; Actinomycetota; Actinomycetes; Mycobacteriales; Nocardiaceae
Description: bacterial SSU rRNA
Rfam family: Bacterial small subunit ribosomal RNA
Source: RNAcentral
GGGACCGGGCGGGGUGCUUACCAUGCAAGUCGAGCGGUAAGGCCUUUCGGGGUACACGAGCGGCGAACGGGUGAGUAACACGUGGGUGAUCUGCCCUGCACUUCGGGAUAAGCCUGGGAAACUGGGUCUAAUACCGGAUAUGACCUCCUGCCGCAUGGUGGGUGGUGGAAAGAUUUAUCGGUGCAGGAUGGGCCCGCGGCCUAUCAGCUUGUUGGUGGGGUAAUGGCCUACCAAGGCGACGACGGGUAGCCGACCUGAGAGGGUGACCGGCCACACUGGGACUGAGACACGGCCCAGACUCCUACGGGAGGCAGCAGUGGGGAAUAUUGCACAAUGGGCGAAAGCCUGAUGCAGCGACGCCGCGUGAGGGAUGACGGCCUUCGGGUUGUAAACCUCUUUCAGCAGGGACGAAGCGCAAGUGACGGUACCUGCAGAAGAAGCACCGGCUAACUACGUGCCAGCAGCCGCGGUAAUACGUAGGGUGCAAGCGUUGUCCGGAAUUACUGGGCGUAAAGAGUUCGUAGGCGGUUUGUCGCGUCGUUUGUGAAAACCAGCAGCUCAACUGCUGGCUUGCAGGCGAUACGGGCAGACUUGAGUACUGCAGGGGAGACUGGAAUUCCUGGUGUAGCGGUGAAAUGCGCAGAUAUCAGGAGGAACACCGGUGGCGAAGGCGGGUCUCUGGGCAGUAACUGACGCUGAGGAACGAAAGCGUGGGUAGCGAACAGGAUUAGAUACCCUGGUAGUCCACGCCGUAAACGGUGGGCGCUAGGUGUGGGUUCCUUCCACGGAAUCCGUGCCGUAGCUAACGCAUUAAGCGCCCCGCCUGGGGAGUACGGCCGCAAGGCUAAAACUCAAAGGAAUUGACGGGGGCCCGCACAAGCGGCGGAGCAUGUGGAUUAAUUUCGAUGCAACGCGAAGAACCUUUACCUGGGUUUGACAUAUACCGGAAAGCUGCAGAGAUGUGGCCCCCCUUGUGUCGGUAUACAGUGUGCAUGGCCUGUCGUCAGCUUCGUGUCCGUGAAGAUGUU